RNAcentral lists this unclassified non-coding RNA (209 nucleotides) under Hevea brasiliensis (rubber tree). The record is from RNAcentral. Lineage: Eukaryota; Viridiplantae; Streptophyta; Magnoliopsida; Malpighiales; Euphorbiaceae.
GUUGUAUUGAAUAUUUAAGUGAUGCUGCUGCAAUGUUGAUGUAUUUUUGGUUUGUGAUGACUUCGGUAUGCAUUGUGCUAACUACUAGCAUUGACUAAAUAUGUGGGUUGAAUGAAUGAUGUUGAUAAAGCAGUUUUGCUUUGCCUACUGGUUUUGGGUAUGUGAAGAAAUUUGUUCUAUUAGUUGGUUUUGUGUUUUCAAUGUGAUGA